GAAGGGGAAGGGGGGCGCGCCAUCGCAGGGGAAGGGGAAGGGGGGCAAGAAGAACCCCUAGGUAUGGCCCAGCCUUAUGGGCUUGCUUGCUUCCCGUGACCGCGAUUUUGGUUCCAAGAUUUUGACCGCCUGCGUCAGACCUGUCGUCAAAAGUUCGUCUCUUCUGUUCUGUAGAUAAACUAGUAGCGCAUGAGACUAUAUGGGGAUGCGGCGAUACUUUUACAUGUUACUAAAUGCUUGACUGCUGCUACUACUUAGAGUAUAUAUUACUACAAUCUCAGGUGCACAUCGGUGCCCGAUCUUUCUUCUAAUUGGCAUCUUUGAGCUUCUUCUGCUGUGAUUUCCCUGCAUUAGAAUCUGGUGGCUCUGAAUAAUUAGCUAGCGUCAGAAGAUGCAAUAAGCAUGAGCACCUGAUAAAUAAUGUGUUUGAGCAUGAGCAUCUUUACCGUGCAGCAUUGACUAGAUCUAUAUGUGAUUUCAUCAACGAGAGAGCUGGGCAAGCUCUUCUUGCUGUACAGGCCUGCAAGUAUGUGAUUUUGUCAUUUCAAAUGCAUGAACAAUAUGUCAAAAGUAAGAUGUGCUCAUGGAUGCUCUGUAGGAUGUGCUUUUCCCACUCAAAAUGAAGCUUGUCUACCUAGUUAUCAGCCUGUUUUUUUUUUUUUUUGUUAUGGUAAAACUUUGUUCAUCUGAUGAGGUAAAAAAACUAUAAAGAAUCUGUGAGGCUAGAUAGUGUGAAUGACUAAUGUUGCUGAUUGUGCAUAACCAUGCUUCAGUCAAAGUGAAUGGUCAAAAACAUGUUUACAAAGUACAUGACCAUGUAGCAGUCAAUUUUCUGAUCUUGCUGCAAAACUCUGAUUCAAUAAUUUAACCCAACAUCUUGUCUACUGGAAAAUAUCCAUAUAGGCAUGGCUGAAUUUAUUUUCUGUUGUUUAAAAUGCAUGAAGAAAUGUAAACAGUUCAUAGAAGUAGUUCUGAGGAGCAUGAAAAAAUCAUGUGAUGGGUCUGGAUUGGCACUCUAGUGAUUGUCCAGUAUGUGCUAAGUUAGCGCGAGUAUUCCCACUUGCAGUGCUUGAAGUGAAAAUGAAUAAGAACUAUAUGCACAAUGGAUACCGUGUUUCAGUAAAAGUGUGAAUGACAAUAAAGAAUCUGUGAGGCUAGAUAGUGUGAAUGACUAAUGUUGCUGAUUGUGCAUAACCAUGUUUCAGUCAAAGUGAAUGGUCAAAAACAUGUUUACAAAGUGCAUGACCAUGUAGUAGUCAAUUUUCUGAUCUUGCUGCAAAACUCUGAUUCAAUAAUUUGACCCAACUUAUCUUGUCUACUGGAAAAUAUCCAUAUAGGCAUGGCUGAAUUUAUUUUCUGUUGUUUGAAAUGCAUGAAAUAAUGCCAACAGUUCAUAGAAGUAGUUCUGAGGAGCAUGAAAAAAACAUGUGAUAGGUCUGGAUUGGCACUAGUGAUUGUCCAGUAUGUGCUGAGUUAGCGCGAGUAUUCCCACUUGCAGUGCUUGAAGUGAAAAUUAAGAAGAAUUAUAUGCACAAUGGAUACCGUGUAGGUUGGGAUACUUACUAUUGAGGUAGCUAACACCCCAACAGUCAAGGGACCUAUUUACCCACCAGAAGUCUGUUCCAUUGGUUUAUGUACGCAAACCUGUUGCUUGUAACAAAAGGAAUACUAAUAAAGUGUAAAACAGAGAUUCCAUUGCAUUACCAGGCUUUCAGCAAAGUACCACACAAUGGUCAUCGUGUAGUCAUCGAUAGAAUAAUUGUUCAAAAAAACAUGUAUAUACUUGCUCUUAGAGCCUCUUCGAUUCACAAGAUUCUCAACAGGUACUAUGGAACGACCUCUAUCCCUAAAUAUUGAGUACUACUACCUCUGUCCCUAAAUAUUGAGUACCACUACCUCUGUCCCUAAAUAUAAGACGUUUUUGCAGUUCAAUUUGAACUGCAAGAACGUCUUAUAUUUAGGGACAGAGGGAGUAUAUGGAACUGAAAAGGUGUUUGCUUAUGUGUAAGAAAAACGAAAUAUUCUUUCCAAGAGAUGAGGCCGAUGGAAAUUUUCCUAAAAUCUAGUACUACAAAUAAAUCCUAUGGCCCAGUUUGGAAUGUGCGUAAAAUUUAGUAUGGUUUGCUAAUGACCAUACAAAUUUUACACACAUUCAAACAGUCCUUGAGGGGAAAAUAAUAUGGUUUAGUAUUGCGAAUCAAACUUGCCAUGGGUAAAUUUCAAAAAUGAUUAAAAUCCUACAAUGAUCUUCUGAAGAAACACAUGAUUGUGAUCUCAUGUUCAAUCUAAACCUAUAGGAUGUUUUUUGCACCAGAGUUUGUUCCGCGCAUCAUUAAGACAAGAGCAAAGAAUAGAGUUGACAGAAAAAUGGUGAUAACGCGUGCAAAGUAAUCUUUCUGAAACUAUCUAUGAGAUUAAAUCAUGCAAAUCGAACAACCUACAAAAAAAUAUACCCAAGGGUUCUAAUCCUCCGAAUUUACUAGAAAAAUCCUGUUGAAUCAAAUAGGCCCUAAGAGUCAGAUGCUCUUAUAUAUUUUGCAAUGACUCAAAUGAAACAAAAAAAACAUUUUAAUAGGUUUUAAAUCCAGCAUAUUUUUGCAAGACCUAUUAGUUGACCUGCAGGUAUCUAUAGUUGUCUUUUAGGCAUAUAUAUUAUUAUUUUGCUCUUACCCGAAUUUUUCUAUUCAAAUAGGCUUUAAAAUCAUACUCCCAUCGUAUAACGGAAGCAUGGCCUUUAGAUAUCUAAUGGGCUUUCAAAUUGUACUCCCGUCAUAUACGGAGAGAGUAGGAGAUCCAUAGGAGCUGCACACAAAAUACAUGCCAUGAGGCAAGUGAUUGUUUUAGCAACAGUGGGAAAAAAAUCCUCAACAGACAAGAAGGCUUUAGAGGCGGCCUCUACAGGCUACUGCAGUGGAGUGGUAAAGGGUGAGGCUGCCCUUGACUUUGUUCGGUCCACAGACAGACUACAGAUUGUUAUUACGAGCAGGCAUCAGAAAAAAGUGGCUGAGCUGAACUCAAAUGCGGUCAGGCUAAGUAUACAUAUACACACACUGCAAAAUACAGUGUGUCAAAACGGCAAGGCUUCUGUGCAAGUAUGAAGAUUUGGGAGCAAACUAGACACAACGGGAAAGUGGACCAUAAUACUGUACUGAUCUGAUCUGGAGAGAAGAAGAAAAAUGUAGGUGGCUUAUUAAGAAAUGCAUACUUUUCUUACUAAGAUUCUCAUGAAAGAAAAGCAUCACUGAAGGACAUAAUGAAUAGGCCAUGUGUAUGUGUACUGUAUCCUGAUGCCAAUGCUAUAUUUUUAACCAAAAUUCCCAGUGACUAGAUUACCCAUUAUCUACAUCCAAGAUUAUUUCGCAACCUUUUUACAGCUGACGGGUAGAAAUAAUUACUUGUUUUCAAAGAGGAUUCAUGCUCUCCCUAUAGAGGUAUACAUUCACCUCCAACGCAGAUGUAGACUAGGCUGUUGAUGAUCUGCCAUCCAUCCCUGGUUGUCAUCAAGAAAGGAGCAGGAUACCAGGUGAAUGCAAAUCCAAAUAACUAGUGCUGACUCUUAUUGGAUCAUAACCACAAAUAACUAAAAAUACCAAACGCCAACUAAUGAGAUGGAAGAACGAAUGAAAUAAAAAUCCAAACUUUAGGAUCAACACUGACUGGGCAGCACCGAUUGGCAAGAAUUUGCUACAAGGACCACAGUAGAGAACACCUAAAAAGGUAGAGAGAAGAGGCAAAAAAAAUCAGAAUCGAUUAUACCAAGAAUCAGAGAAAGCAAAGAUGGAGGAAGAAAGCUAAGGGCGUAGCCAUCAGGCAUAAAGUCAUCACCUGACGAAAAAAACCAUCAACGUUGAAGGAUAUGGCCAGAUCUGAAUCUGCAAUGAUUUGCAGCCCAACCAGAUCCACCAAGAGGAUGGUUGGACGCCCUGCUGUCAGUGAGAGCAGAUCAGUGGAAGCAGAUCGAACAGCAGCUUCCGGCGACGCCGGACGGAGCCUCCCGCGAGAGGCAGAGCGGCUCCUCGCGUGCAGGCGAUGCCUCACCGGAUCCAGCAGCCCAAGUCCCCGGCGCGCGCCAUCCUGGGCGCCACCACCCCAGAUCUGGCCCGCGAUAGAGAGCGGUUGGCCGCACCACCCUCCAAAGCCGCGGCCGUCCGAGUCUUACCCUUAGUUGGAGUACAGCGAGGUGCGUGCGCCCAUGGGCUGGUAGUAGAUCGAUCGACCAGGAGAUGGGCACGGCCUCCAGAUGUAUCGGUAGACCGACGGUUGCCGCGGCGUCGACGGAGGAGGCAUGGCGGCUACGGUUUGGGGUUGGGGUGGGGGGCGAGAGCUCGGGGAAGAGAUAGGAGAGGGGAAGA
RNAcentral lists this long non-coding RNA (4352 nucleotides) under Triticum aestivum (bread wheat). Its description in RNAcentral is "long non-coding RNA (TAES_LNC009174)". The stretch from base 1890 to 1976 matches the Rfam family "MIR1120/MIR1122 microRNA precursor family". The record is from RNAcentral. Lineage: Eukaryota; Viridiplantae; Streptophyta; Magnoliopsida; Poales; Poaceae.